CCGAAGCUACGGCAUCAGUAAUGAUGGGUAGGGGAGCUUCCCAUACGGGUUGAAGCAUGACCGUAAGGACAUGUGGACAGUAUGGGAGUGAGAAUGUUGGCAUGAGUAGCGAGAUGUGGGUGGGAAUCCCACAGGCCGUAAACCCAAGGUUUCCAGGGGAAGGUUCGUCCACCCUGGGUUAGUCGGGACCUAAGCUGAGGCCGAAAGGCGUAGGUGAUGGACAACAGGUUGAUAUUCCUGUACUACCGAUAACCGUUUGAGAGAAGGGAUGACACAGUAGGAUAAGCUAAGCACACUGUUGGUUAUGUGUGCCCAAGCAUUGAGGCAGUCAAAGUAGGCAAAUCCGCUUUGAUAAUGCUGGG
This 362-nucleotide ribosomal RNA is filed under the name Clostridioides difficile. RNAcentral describes it as "partial 23S ribosomal RNA". It matches the Rfam family "Bacterial large subunit ribosomal RNA", at positions 1194 to 1560 of the family's 2925-position model. Lineage: Bacteria; Bacillati; Bacillota; Clostridia; Peptostreptococcales; Peptostreptococcaceae. The record is from RNAcentral.